AGUGAACGCUGGCGGUAGGCCUAACACAUGCAAGUCGAACGGCAGCACAGUAAGAGCUUGCUCUUACGGGUGGCGAGUGGCGGACGGGUGAGGAAUACAUCGGAAUCUACUUUUUCGUGGGGGAUAACGUAGGGAAACUUACGCUAAUACCGCUUACGACCUACGGGUGAAAGCAGGGGAUCUUCGGACCUUGCGCGAUUGAAUGAGCCGAUGUCGGAUUAGCUAGUUGGCGGGUUAAAGGCCCACCAAGGCGACGAUCCGUAGCUGGUCUGAGAGGAUGAUCAGCCACACUGGAACUGAGACACGGUCCAGACUCCUACGGGAGGCAGCAGUGGGGAAUAUUGGACGAUGGGCGCAAGCCUGAUCCAGCCAUACCGCGUGGGUGAAGAAGGCCUUCGGGUUGUAAAGCCCUUUUGUUGGGAAAGAAAAGCAGCAGGUUAAUACCCCGCUGUUCUGACGGUACCCAAAGAAUAAGCACCGGCUAACUUCGUG
This 492-nucleotide ribosomal RNA is filed under the name uncultured bacterium. RNAcentral describes it as "partial 16S ribosomal RNA". It matches the Rfam family "Bacterial small subunit ribosomal RNA", at positions 29 to 507 of the family's 1533-position model. The record is from RNAcentral.